Molecule: ribosomal RNA, 301 nt
Filed under: uncultured bacterium
Lineage: Bacteria
Description: partial 16S ribosomal RNA
Rfam family: Bacterial small subunit ribosomal RNA
Source: RNAcentral
CAGUCGCCACGGGAACACGAAGGGGGCUAGCGUUGCUCGGAAUGACUGGGCGUAAAGGGCGCGUAGGCGGUUUUGACAGUCAGAUGUGAAAUUCCUGGGCUUAACCUGGGGGCUGCAUUUGAGACGUCAAGACUAGAGUGUGAGAGAGGGUUGUGGAAUUCCCAGUGUAGAGGCGAAGUUCGUAGAUAUUGGGAAGAACACCGGUGGCGAAGGCGGCAACCUGGCUCAUUACUGACGCUGAGGCGCGAAAGCGUGGGGAGCAAACAGGAUUAGAUACCCCGGUAGUCCCUGUCUCUUAUAC